UUCCUCUUGUAAAUAUUGGAGGUAGUCCCUGCCCAGUGCCAGGUAAGUGGUCAACGGCGGCCUUAGUCUGAGGGUCCAAAGGUAGCAUAAUAAUUUGGCUCUUAAUUGGAGUCUUGUAUGAAUGGGUUAACGUAAUAACGACUGUGUCACAAGCAUACUAUUGAAGUUAACUUAAAGGUGCAAAGGCCUUUAUUAAUAAGAAGGACGACAAGACCCUAGAAUCUUUAUGAUUGUCCGUGUUUACGAUAAUAAUGAAGUUUUCAGCUUACCCGUAAACAGGGUUAAAAUUUUGUUGGGGCAACAGGGGGAAUAUGUCUCGCCCAUAAAUCCUGGUUUAACUGAUUUGGAGUGUAUUUUUACCAACUGGUUUAGGCCGUUAUAAUGCGAGAAUGAUUAAGUUACUCUAGGGAUAACAGCGCAAUACCUUUUGAGAGCUCUUAUUGAAAAAGGUGCUUGCGACCUCGAUGUUGGCUUAGGGUAUCCUGUAGGUGUAGAAGCUUGCACGGGUUGGUCUGUUCGCCCAUUAAAACCCU
RNAcentral lists this ribosomal RNA (533 nucleotides) under Leiosolenus curtus. Its description in RNAcentral is "partial 16S ribosomal RNA". It matches the Rfam family "Bacterial large subunit ribosomal RNA", at positions 1831 to 2597 of the family's 2925-position model. RNAcentral also lists the same sequence under 1 other name. The record is from RNAcentral. Lineage: Eukaryota; Metazoa; Mollusca; Bivalvia; Mytilida; Modiolidae.